RNAcentral lists this ribosomal RNA (417 nucleotides) under uncultured bacterium. Its description in RNAcentral is "bacterial SSU rRNA". It matches the Rfam family "Bacterial small subunit ribosomal RNA", at positions 355 to 786 of the family's 1533-position model. The record is from RNAcentral.
UCGGGAAUAUUGCGCAAUGGAGGAAACUCUGACGCAGUGACGCCGCGUAUAGGAAGAAGGUUUUCGGAUUGUAAACUAUUGUCGUUAGGGAAGAUACAAGACAGUACCUAAGGAGGAAGCUCCGGCUAACUACGUGCCAGCAGCCGCGGUAAUACGUAGGGAGCAAGCGUUAUCCGGAUUUAUUGGGUGUAAAGGGUGCGUAGACGGGACAACAAGUUAGUUGUGAAAUCCCUCGGCUCAACUGAGGAACUGCAACUAAAAACUAUUGUUCUUGAGUGUUGGAGAGGAAAGUGGAAUUCCUAGUGUAGCGGUGAAAUGCGUAGAUAUUAGGAGGAACACCGGUGGCGAAGGCGACUUUCUGGACAAUAACUGACGUUGAGGCACGAAAAGUGUGGGGAGCAAACAGGAUUAGAUACC